GAUGAACGCUGGCGGCGUGCUUAACACAUGCAAGUCGAACGAAGCGCUUUAGUUGAUUUCUUCGGAUUGAUUCUAAAGUGACUUAGUGGCGGACGGGUGAGUAACGCGUGGGUAACCUGCCUCGUACAGGGGGAUAACAGUUAGAAAUGACUGCUAAUACCGCAUAACCCGCUAAGGUCGCAUGACCUAGACGGAAAGAUUUAUCGGUACGAGAUGGACCCGCGUCUGAUUAGCUAGUUGGUGAGGUAACGGCCCACCAAGGCGACGAUCAGUAGCCGGCCUGAGAGGGUGACCGGCCACAUUGGGACUGAGACACGGCCCAA
RNAcentral lists this ribosomal RNA (323 nucleotides) under uncultured bacterium. Its description in RNAcentral is "bacterial SSU rRNA". It matches the Rfam family "Bacterial small subunit ribosomal RNA", at positions 28 to 334 of the family's 1533-position model. The record is from RNAcentral.